Molecule: ribosomal RNA, 615 nt
Filed under: uncultured Micromonospora sp.
Lineage: Bacteria; Bacillati; Actinomycetota; Actinomycetes; Micromonosporales; Micromonosporaceae
Description: bacterial SSU rRNA
Rfam family: Bacterial small subunit ribosomal RNA
Source: RNAcentral
GAGCGGAAGGCCCUUCGGGGUACUCGAGCGGCGAACGGGUGAGUAACACGUGAGCAACCUGCCCUAGGCUUUGGGAUAACCCCGGGAAACCGGGGCUAAUACCGAAUAUGACCUCGCAUCGCAUGGUGUGUGGUGGAAAGUUUUUCGGCCUGGGAUGGGCUCGCGGCCUAUCAGCUUGUUGGUGGGGUGAUGGCCUACCAAGGCGACGACGGGUAGCCGGCCUGAGAGGGCGACCGGCCACACUGGGACUGAGACACGGCCCAGACUCCUACGGGAGGCAGCAGUGGGGAAUAUUGCACAAUGGGCGGAAGCCUGAUGCAGCGACGCCGCGUGAGGGAUGACGGCCUUCGGGUUGUAAACCUCUUUCAGCAGGGACGAAGCGUAAGUGACGGUACCUGCAGAAGAAGCGCCGGCCAACUACGUGCCAGCAGCCGCGGUAAGACGUAGGGCGCGAGCGUUGUCCGGAUUUAUUGGGCGUAAAGAGCUCGUAGGCGGCUUGUCGCGUCGACCGUGAAAACCUGGGGCUCAACCCCAGGCCUGCGGUCGAUACGGGCAGGCUAGAGUUCGGUAGGGGAGACUGGAAUUCCUGGUGUAGCGGUGAAAUGCGCAGAUAUC